Long non-coding RNA from Panicum virgatum (switchgrass), 1529 nucleotides. RefSeq lists it as uncharacterized. The record is from RefSeq and is a predicted model, not a curated record. The transcript has 3 exons. Lineage: Eukaryota; Viridiplantae; Streptophyta; Magnoliopsida; Poales; Poaceae.
UCCAGGCUUUCCGUCCCGUGUCUCCCUCCUCGCCUUCCCGUGAAGUCGCCGCUCGCCGUACCAAAUGAGAAGAACCCCAGAAAAUGUGCAGGAAAUUUUCCGAUCGCGAGGACGAUGACGACGAGCAGGAGGUAUCGAGGAGCCAGAGGAAGGGGGUGCCUCCCCAGCUGGUCCGCGGCCGGCCGUUACCCCGUUACUGCGGCGAUCCCGCCCAAGACCUAAUUCAUGCGCAACUCAGUGAUUGUGAUGAAUAUUUGGUGAACCAAAUCGUUUCCUACUCGCCUCUUGAUUUUCCAGAAGAAUGGUUGAAGCUACCGCUGCAUUGUCAUUUCAGGAACCAACAAGUUUUACCUGUGGAACUGGUACGACUACUGGUGAUACAAGGUCUAAUGCGAAAUUUCUGAGAUGCACAUCCUUCAGCUCAAACCACCGCAACAAUGCAUGCUGCGUUGGUACAUCUGCAAGGUUUUCAGUUUUCGCAACACAAAUUGCAUCGGAGCAUCAUGCCACAUCAUGUCAAAAAUUUCCCCUGAAACGUGGGCCGUAUCAUUUGUUACCUUUCGUGGAUCGCAGGUUUGGAUUAUUCCUCAAGAGUAUCAUACUUUUGCAGCAGCUCCUGCCAAAGUAUGCAAGGCAUCCUAGGUGGAAGGUGUGCAGACUGCAGAGUCGUGCUGUCAAGUUCUUUGUGUCUGGAGUCUGGACGGGACUAGUGAGCUAUUGCGAGGACUUGUGCAGGUCCAUAUACAGUGAACCAUAGCUUGCCCCACCGAAGUGCCAAUCCCCACAAAGCCGCAACACACUGUGGCUGUGUGACUCACAAUAAAGCACGAUCGUAUCCUUCCUCCUGUCUUUAUCACCCCACCCUCUUCCUAUGCAAUAGCUAGUUUCUGCAUGGUAAUGGAGAAGAUGAUGGUGGCAUUGUGGUGGGAAGUAGUUGUGGAGAUCGCUGCUAUUGCAAACUGCAGCUAAUUGCUUGCUUGAUACAAUCACUUGGCAUUGUGAUCGCCACAGCCCUUUCUGUCCUCAUUGCCAUCUUCUUUGCAUAAAUACAUGGGAGUAGUUCAGGUUCCAAUCUGUUUGACAAGGUUUUCUUUUACUGGAGGUAUUCAGUUCAACUUCUGAGUUGUGACAAACCCCUAGCCUACUCUUGUGGCGUCCGUCUUGAGCACUGAAGAGGUUGGUUUCUCCAGAACUGCUGGGCCUAAAAUUAGGUGUCAAUAAGCGUAUCCGGAGCAGCAUGGGCGCACAUGAUCUAAAAGCUACGGACUGCAUACUGCCUCAAAUAUAUUGUGAUAGAUCUAGGACCACAUGUCAACCAUCUUGAAAUUGUAGUUCUCUUCUUUUUCAGGCCCUAAAUUUCCUCUUGUGAAAUUGGAAUAAUCUCGGGUUAUGGCUGCAUUAUCGUUUUUCUUUUGAAAACAAGCCUGUAUCAGCACUUUGUCAUGGCUUCACAGUUACUUCAUGUACGAAUCAUAUAACUCGCAUAAUCUGUAUGGUGAGAUUCUAAUCAGCGCUCGCUUUUUGGUGCA